This 677-nucleotide ribosomal RNA is filed under the name Knoellia sp. PE-R2A-15. RNAcentral describes it as "bacterial SSU rRNA". It matches the Rfam family "Bacterial small subunit ribosomal RNA", at positions 103 to 794 of the family's 1533-position model. The record is from RNAcentral. Lineage: Bacteria; Bacillati; Actinomycetota; Actinomycetes; Micrococcales; Intrasporangiaceae.
CGGGUGAGUAACACGUGAGUAACCUGCCCCUGACUCUGGAAUAAGCGCUGGAAACGGCGUCUAAUACCGGAUACGAGACGCAACCGCAUGGUUAGUGUCUGGAAAGUUUUUCGGUCUGGGAUGGACUCGCGGCCUAUCAGCUUGUUGGUGAGGUAACGGCUCACCAAGGCAAUGACGGGUAGCCGGCCUGAGAGGGCGAUCGGCCACACUGGGACUGAGACACGGCCCAGACUCCUACGGGAGGCAGCAGUGGGGAAUAUUGCACAAUGGGCGAAAGCCUGAUGCAGCGACGCCGCGUGAGGGAUGACGGCCUUCGGGUUGUAAACCUCUUUCAGCAGGGAAGAAGCGCAAGUGACGGUACCUGCAGAAGAAGCACCGGCUAACUACGUGCCAGCAGCCGCGGUAAUACGUAGGGUGCGAGCGUUGUCCGGAAUUAUUGGGCGUAAAGAGCUUGUAGGCGGUUUGUCGCGUCUGCUGUGAAAAUCCGGGGCUCAACCCCGGACUUGCAGUGGGUACGGGCAGACUAGAGUGUGGUAGGGGAGACUGGAAUUCCUGGUGUAGCGGUGAAAUGCGCAGAUAUCAGGAGGAACACCGAUGGCGAAGGCAGGUCUCUGGGCCAUUACUGACGCUGAGAAGCGAAAGCAUGGGGAGCGAACAGGAUUAGAUACCCUGGUAGU